This 158-nucleotide ribosomal RNA is filed under the name Ilex x wandoensis. RNAcentral's name for it is "5.8S ribosomal RNA". It matches the Rfam family "5.8S ribosomal RNA". From Rfam's summary of the family: 5.8S ribosomal RNA (5.8S rRNA) is a component of the large subunit of the eukaryotic ribosome. It is transcribed by RNA polymerase I as part of the 45S precursor that also contains 18S and 28S rRNA. Lineage: Eukaryota; Viridiplantae; Streptophyta; Magnoliopsida; Aquifoliales; Aquifoliaceae. The record is from RNAcentral.
CGACUCUCGGCAACGGAUAUCUCGGCUCUCGCAUCGAUGAAGAACGUAGCGAAAUGCGAUACUUGGUGUGAAUUGCAGAAUCCCGUGAACCAUCGAGUUUUUGAACGCAUGUUGCGCCCAAAGCCAUUAGGCUAAGGGCACGUCUGCCUGGGCGUCAC